This is a non-coding RNA of Camellia sinensis, 201 nucleotides long. NCBI's taxonomy places the organism in Eukaryota, Viridiplantae, Streptophyta, Magnoliopsida, Ericales, Theaceae. The record is from RefSeq and is a predicted model, not a curated record.
UUUUUAUUUUCCUUGUCAUCACUUCUUGUAGUGGCUUUCUAUUAGAAAAGAUGAGAAUGAAUUUGGCCCAUUUUCUGCUUGGAACAUAACUGGAACAUGCACAGGUGUUCAAGUGAGUCAUUCCACUGGUUGUUUAUGGCCAUAUUGAUUUUUGAUGACAUUUGGAAGCAUACUUGCAAAUCAAGAUGAAGUGUUGAUUUU